GAAUGGGGAAACCCAGUGUGUUUCGACACACUAUCAUUAACUGAAUCCAUAGGUUAAUGAGGCGAACCGGGGGAACUGAAACAUCUAAGUACCCCGAGGAAAAGAAAUCAACCGAGAUUCCCCCAGUAGCGGCGAGCGAACGGGGAGGAGCCCAGAGCCUGAAUCAGUGUGUGUGUUAGUGGAAGCGUCUGGAAAGGCGCGCGAUACAGGGUGACAGCCCCGUACACAAAAAUGCACAUAUUGUGAGCUCGAUGAGUAGGGCGGGACACGUGGUAUCCUGUCUGAAUAUGGGGGGACCAUCCUCCAAGGCUAAAUACUCCUGACUGACCGAUAGUGAACCAGUACCGUGAGGGAAAGGCGAAAAGAACCCCGGCGAGGGGAGUGAAAAAGAACCUGAAACCGUGUACGUACAAGCAGUGGGAGCCUCUUAAUGGGGUGACUGCGUACCUUUUGUAUAAUGGGUCAGCGACUUAUAUUCUGUAGCAAGGUUAACCGAAUAGGGGAGCCGAAGGGAAACCGAGUCUUAACUGGGCGUUAAGUUGCAGGGUAUAGACCCGAAACCCGGUGAUCUAGCCAUGGGCAGGUUGAAGGUUGGGUAACACUAACUGGAGGACCGAACCGACUAAUGUUGAAAAAUUAGCGGAUGACUUGUGGCUGGGGGUGAAAGGCCAAUCAAACCGGGAGAUAGCUGGUUCUCCCCGAAAGCUAUUUAGGUAGCGCCUCGUGAAUUCAUCUCCGGGGGUAGAGCACUGUUUCGGCAAGGGGGUCAUCCCGACUUACCAACCCGAUGCAAACUGCGAAUACCGGAGAAUGUUAUCACGGGAGACACACGGCGGGUGCUAACGUCCGUCGUGAAGAGGGAAACAACCCAGACCGCCAGCUAAGGUCCCAAAGUCAUGGUUAAGUGGGAAACGAUGUGGGAAGGCCCAGACAGCCAGGAUGUUGGCUUAGAAGCAGCCAUCAUUUAAAGAAAGCGUAAUAGCUCACUGGUCGAGUCGGCCUGCGCGGAAGAUGUAACGGGGCUAAACCAUGCACCGAAGCUGCGGCAGCGACACUAUGUGUUGUUGGGUAGGGGAGCGUUCUGUAAGCCUGUGAAGGUGGCCUGUGAGGGUUGCUGGAGGUAUCAGAAGUGCGAAUGCUGACAUAAGUAACGAUAAAGCGGGUGAAAAGCCCGCUCGCCGGAAGACCAAGGGUUCCUGUCCAACGUUAAUCGGGGCAGGGUGAGUCGACCCCUAAGGCGAGGCCGAAAGGCGUAGUCGAUGGGAAACAGGUUAAUAUUCCUGUACUUGGUGUUACUGCGAAGGGGGGACGGAGAAGGCUAUGUUGGCCGGGCGACGGUUGUCCCGGUUUAAGCGUGUAGGCUGGUUUUCCAGGCAAAUCCGGAAAAUCAAGGCUGAGGCGUGAUGACGAGGCACUACGGUGCUGAAGCGACAAAUGCCCUGCUUCCAGGAAAAGCCUCUAAGCAUCAGGUAACAUCAAAUCGUACCCCAAACCGACACAGGUGGUCAGGUAGAGAAUACCAAGGCGCUUGAGAGAACUCGGGUGAAGGAACUAGGCAAAAUGGUGCCGUAACUUCGGGAGAAGGCACGCUGAUAUGUAGGUGAAGCGACUUGCUCGUGGAGCUGAAAUCAGUCGAAGAUACCAGCUGGCUGCAACUGUUUAUUAAAAACACAGCACUGUGCAAACACGAAAGUGGACGUAUACGGUGUGACGCCUGCCCGGUGCCGGAAGGUUAAUUGAUGGGGUUAGCGGUAACGCGAAGCUCUUGAUCGAAGCCCCGGUAAACGGCGGCCGUAACUAUAACGGUCCUAAGGUAGCGAAAUUCCUUGUCGGGUAAGUUCCGACCUGCACGAAUGGCGUAAUGAUGGCCAGGCUGUCUCCACCCGAGACUCAGUGAAAUUGAACUCGCUGUGAAGAUGCAGUGUACCCGCGGCAAGACGGAAAGACCCCGUGAACCUUUACUAUAGCUUGACACUGAACAUUGAGCCUUGAUGUGUAGGAUAGGUGGGAGGCUUUGAAGUGUGGACGCCAGUCUGCAUGGAGCCGACCUUGAAAUACCACCCUUUAAUGUUUGAUGUUCUAACGUGGGCCCCUUACCGGGGUUGCGGACAGUGUCUGGUGGGUAGUUUGACUGGGGCGGUCUCCUCCUAAAGAGUAACGGAGGAGCACGAAGGUUGGCUAAUCCUGGUCGGACAUCAGGAGGUUAGUGCAAUGGCAUAAGCCAGCUUGACUGCGAGCGUGACGGCGCGAGCAGGUGCGAAAGCAGGUCAUAGUGAUCCGGUGGUUCUGAAUGGAAGGGCCAUCGCUCAACGGAUAAAAGGUACUCCGGGGAUAACAGGCUGAUACCGCCCAAGAGUUCAUAUCGACGGCGGUGUUUGGCACCUCGAUGUCGGCUCAUCACAUCCUGGGGCUGAAGUAGGUCCCAAGGGUAUGGCUGUUCGCCAUUUAAAGUGGUACGCGAGCUGGGUUUAGAACGUCGUGAGACAGUUCGGUCCCUAUCUGCCGUGGGCGCUGGAGAACUGAGGGGGGCUGCUCCUAGUACGAGAGGACCGGAGUGGACGCAUCACUGGUGUUCGGGUUGUCAUGCCAAUGGCACUGCCCGGUAGCUAAAUGCGGAAGAGAUAAGUGCUGAAAGCAUCUAAGCACGAAACUUGCCCCGAGAUGAGUUCUCCCUGACUCCUUGAGAGUCCUGAAGGAACGUUGAAGACGACGACGUUGAUAGGCCGGGUGUGUAAGCGCAGCGAUGCGUUGAGCUAACCGGUACUAAUGAACCGUGAGGCUUAACCUU
This 2788-nucleotide ribosomal RNA is filed under the name Escherichia coli. RNAcentral describes it as "partial 23S ribosomal RNA". It matches the Rfam family "Bacterial large subunit ribosomal RNA". Lineage: Bacteria; Pseudomonadati; Pseudomonadota; Gammaproteobacteria; Enterobacterales; Enterobacteriaceae. The record is from RNAcentral.